This 426-nucleotide ribosomal RNA is filed under the name uncultured prokaryote. RNAcentral's name for it is "bacterial SSU rRNA". It matches the Rfam family "Bacterial small subunit ribosomal RNA", at positions 355 to 774 of the family's 1533-position model. The record is from RNAcentral.
UGGGGAAUAUUGGACAAUGGGCGCAAGCCUGAUCCAGCAAUACCGCGUGUGUGAAGAAGGCCUGAGGGUUGUAAAGCACUUUUAAUAGGGAGGAACACCUGUAGGCUAAUACCCUGCAGCAUGACAUUACCUAUAGAAAAAGCACCGGCUAACUCCGUGCCAGCAGCCGCGGUAAUACGGAGGGUGCAAGCGUUAAUCGGAAUUACUGGGCGUAAAGCGUGCGUAGGCGGUUAUUUAAGUCAGAUGUGAAAGCCCCGGGCUUAACCUGGGAACUGCAUUUGAUACUGGGUAACUCGAGUUUAGUAGAGGAGAGUGGAAUUUCAGGUGUAGCGGUGAAAUGCGUAGAGAUCUGAAGGAACACCAGUGGCGAAGGCGACUCUCUGGACUAAAACUGACGCUGAGGUACGAAAGCGUGGGUAGCAAACA